AGCACCCCCUUGGUUCAAUUUUCUGUCAAAUAUAUACACAAUAUGUAAUAGCAUAAUUCUCAAAAGAGACCUAUGAGAUAUAUACUAUUAUUGACUCCAUUUUACAGAGGAAAAAUCCAAAUCUGUGAGGUUAAAUACUGUUUCUGUCAUCUGUUGCUGCAUAACAAAUCAUCCCAAAACUUAACGAAUUGAACAACCAGCAUUUUGUUAUAUCUCACAGUUCUAUACGUUGACUAGGCUCUGUGGGGCAGUUCUUCUGGUCCACUUGAUGCUGUCUGGGGCUGCAUUUAUCUGGAGGCUCAUCUGGACUGGAGUAUCCAAAAUGGUUCAUUCACAUGCCUGGCAACUGGUGCUAGCUAUCGAUGGGACACAGCUGGGGUUAUCUGAAGAGUGCAUCCAUGUUCCUUCAUAUUCCCUUGGCAGGAUGACAGCCCAGUUCCAAGAAGGAGCAUUCCAAGAAGAAAGAAAUGGGAUCUUCCUGUUCUUUUAAGGCCUGACUCAGAAGUCUCAGAACAUCACUUCUGCCAGUCUAGUGGUCAAAGCAGUCACAAGUUAACCAAGAUUUAAGAGAAGGGGAAAGAUGUGCCACCUUCCGGCAGAGGAAUAGCGUGCGUGUACAGGAAGCAAGAGAGUUGAUGUCAGGCCUCAUUGGAGACUGUAUCACAAAUACUUUGCUGCUUCCUGGUCAUGAGAUGAGCAGUUUUUCUCUACCACACAGACCGGCUAUGAUGUGCUGCUUUGCCACAGGCCCAAAACAAUGGGGCUGAGGGAUCAUGAACUGGAAUCUCCAAAACUCUGAAUGGAGAGGAUCCUGAAUGUGGAUCUACAAGAUGGAAGAAGCCUGGGCCCCGAGUUGCUAACGAGGGAAUCAAUGGCUGGCCAGGAACACCUGCAGGAGUCAGAAAUGAACUUUUAUUGUGUGAAUCUCUGAAAAUUUGAAGCUGUUAGCUUAUCUUGACUAAUCCAAAUGCUAGGUUUAAUGUAACUUUCCUAGGUUGAUUAUGAUAUCCACUUUUCAAGAGUUCCCCGUAAUUAAAAAAAAAAGACUUCAAAACUAUAUUUAUUACUUCAUUUAAGUAUGUGCUCUCUUGAUUUUAUGAUCAGAAAUAAUAGCCUCGUCCAAUCUCUUACUUUUGCAAAUGGUAAUGCCAAAAAAAAAAAAUUAAAAACUCUUAGAGUAUGGGAGGUCUCAGAAAGUCUCUCGAGUAUGUUUGAGCUCUCCACAGCAAGUUUUCAAGAACUUGUCAUAAGAUGGGGACAUUGAUGUUCAGGCCUGCUGAAUGUUGGAAUAGAAAUAGGGGAACAAAGCUUUGGUUUCCAUGAUA
Non-coding RNA from Ictidomys tridecemlineatus (thirteen-lined ground squirrel), 1325 nucleotides. NCBI's taxonomy places the organism in Eukaryota, Metazoa, Chordata, Mammalia, Rodentia, Sciuridae. The record is from RefSeq and is a predicted model, not a curated record.